GAUGAACGCUAGCGGCAGGCCUAACACAUGCAAGUCGAGGGGUAGAGUUAGCUUGCUAACUUGAGACCGGCGCACGGGUGCGUAACGCGUAUGCAAUCUACCUUGUACAGAGGGAUAGCCCAGAGAAAUUUGGAUUAAUACCUCAUAGUAUCUUUACCUGGCAUCGGGUAAUUAUUAAAGUUCCAACGGUACAAGAUGAGCAUGCGUCCCAUUAGUUAGUUGGUAAGGUAACGGCUUACCAAGACAAUGAUGGGUAGGGGUCCUGAGAGGGAGAUCCCCCACACUGGUACUGAGACACGGACCAGACUCCUACGGGAGGCAGCAGUGAGGAAUAUUGGUCAAUGGACGCAAGUCUGAACCAGCCAUGCCGCGUGCAGGAAGACGGUCCUAUGGAUUGUAAACUGCUUUUAUACAGGAAGAAACAACUCUACGUGUAGAGUCUUGACGGUACUGUAGGAAUAAGGAUCGGCUAACUCCGUGCCAGCAGCCGCGGU
RNAcentral lists this ribosomal RNA (494 nucleotides) under uncultured bacterium. RNAcentral describes it as "bacterial SSU rRNA". It matches the Rfam family "Bacterial small subunit ribosomal RNA", at positions 28 to 521 of the family's 1533-position model. The record is from RNAcentral.